RNAcentral lists this transfer RNA (73 nucleotides) under Camelus bactrianus (Bactrian camel). It matches the Rfam family "tRNA". From Rfam's summary of the family: Transfer RNA (tRNA) molecules are approximately 80 nucleotides in length. RNAcentral also lists the same sequence under 2 other names. Lineage: Eukaryota; Metazoa; Chordata; Mammalia; Artiodactyla; Camelidae. The record is from Rfam by way of RNAcentral.
GGUGGUACAGCUCAAGUGGUAGAGCGCAUGCUUAGCAUGCACAAGGUCCUGGGUUCAAUCCCCAGUACCCCCU